Molecule: ribosomal RNA, 482 nt
Filed under: uncultured bacterium
Lineage: Bacteria
Description: partial 16S ribosomal RNA
Rfam family: Bacterial small subunit ribosomal RNA
Source: RNAcentral
GAUGAACGCUGGCGGCGUGCCUAAUACAUGCAAGUCGAACGCUUCACUUCGGUGAAGAGUGGCGAACGGGUGAGUAAUACAUAAGUAACCUGGCAUCUACAGGGGGAUAACUGAUGGAAACGUCAGCUAAGACCGCAUAGGUGUAGAGAUCGCAUGAACUCUAUAUGAAAAGUGCUACGGGACUGGUAGAUGAUGGACUUAUGGUGCAUUAGCUUGUUGGUAGGGUAACGGCCUACCAAGGCGACGAUGCGUAGCCGACCUGAGAGGGUGACCGGCCACACUGGGACUGAGACACGGCCCAGACUCCUACGGGAGGCAGCAGUAGGGAAUUUUCGGCAAUGGAGGAAACCCUGACCGAGCAACGCCGCGUGAAGGAAGAAGUAAUUCGUUAUGUAAACUUCUGUCAUAGAGGAAGAACGGUGGAUAUAGGGAAUGAUAUCCAAGUGACGGUACUCUAUAAGAAAGCCACGGCUAGCUACGUG